Molecule: ribosomal RNA, 982 nt
Filed under: Pseudostaurosphaeria chromolaenae
Lineage: Eukaryota; Fungi; Ascomycota; Dothideomycetes; Pleosporales; Phaeosphaeriaceae
Description: SSU rRNA
Rfam family: Eukaryotic small subunit ribosomal RNA
Source: RNAcentral
GCGAAUGGCUCAUUAAAUCAGUUAUCGUUUAUUUGAUAGUACCUUACUACUUGGAUAACCGUGGUAAUUCUAGAGCUAAUACAUGCUGAAAACCCCAACUUCGGGAGGGGUGUGCUUAUUAGAUAAAAAACCAACGCCCUUCGGGGCUUCUUGGUGAUUCAUGAUAAUUUUACGGAUCGCAUGGCCUUGCGCCGGCGACGGUUCAUUCAAAUUUCUGCCCUAUCAACUUUCGAUGGUAAGGUAUUGGCUUACCAUGGUUUCAACGGGUAACGGGGAAUUAGGGUUCGAUUCCGGAGAGGGAGCCUGAGAAACGGCUACCACAUCCAAGGAAGGCAGCAGGCGCGCAAAUUACCCAAUCCCGACACGGGGAGGUAGUGACAAUAAAUACUGAUACAGGGCUCUUUUGGGUCUUGUAAUUGGAAUGAGUACAAUUUAAACCUCUUAACGAGGAACAAUUGGAGGGCAAGUCUGGUGCCAGCAGCCGCGGUAAUUCCAGCUCCAAUAGCGUAUAUUAAAGUUGUUGCAGUUAAAAAGCUCGUAGUUGAACCUUGGGUCUGGCUGGCAGGUCCGCCUCACCGCGUGUACUUGUCCGGCCGGGCCUUCCUUCUGGAGAACCUCAUGCCCUUUACUGGGCGUGUUGGGGACCAGGACUUUUACUUUGAAAAAAUUAGAGUGUUCAAAGCAGGCCUUUGCUCGAAUACGUUAGCAUGGAAUAAUAGAAUAGGACGUGCGGUCCUAUUUUGUUGGUUUCUAGGACCGCCGUAAUGAUUAAUAGGGACAGUCGGGGGCAUCAGUAUUCAAUUGUCAGAGGUGAAAUUCUUGGAUUUAUUGAAGACUAACUACUGCGAAAGCAUUUGCCAAGGAUGUUUUCAUUAAUCAGUGAACGAAAGUUAGGGGAUCGAAGACGAUCAGAUACCGUCGUAGUCUUAACCGUAAACUAUGCCGACUAGGGAUCGGGCGAUGUUCUUUUUCUGACUCGCUC